UUUUACGCCCGGAGGAUUUUCUUCGCUUCCUGAAGAUUUUGAUGUAACUAACUUUAUUUGAACUGUACUGCAGAUGCAUUUAUUGAGAUUAUAGGUUACAACUGUAUUUGACAUUUGUCUUGAAUAAUUAUAUCAAGUGUUUUUUUUUGACAUUUAUUAGUAUGUUAAUGCUGGACUUAGGGAAAAAAAAAAAAAAAAAAAAAAAAAAAAAAAAAAAACAUAGUAUUGAAAAGUUUUAA
RNAcentral lists this long non-coding RNA (239 nucleotides) under Helianthus annuus (common sunflower). Its description in RNAcentral is "hypothetical non coding rna". The record is from RNAcentral. Lineage: Eukaryota; Viridiplantae; Streptophyta; Magnoliopsida; Asterales; Asteraceae.